This is a non-coding RNA of Penaeus vannamei (Pacific white shrimp), 1472 nucleotides long. NCBI's taxonomy places the organism in Eukaryota, Metazoa, Arthropoda, Malacostraca, Decapoda, Penaeidae. The record is from RefSeq and is a predicted model, not a curated record.
GCAGACGACACAACACGAAGAGGAAGAAGGAAGGAGACGGGAGCGGAGAGAGAGAGAGAGAGACGACCACACAAAUUUCUAAAUAUAAUAAGCGUUUUGCUGAUUGAUAUUAUUUUGUUUACCUCGCGUGUUAUUUAUUUAUUCUUUUUUUUAAUGGAUUGUUAAAUAAAAGGAGGUUUGGGAAAGAGAUAAGAAGGGAAGAACAAGAUGAUGAUAAUUCUGCUUCUCCAUUUUAUGAAUUAUAUUCGUAGAAAAGUGUUAGAGCGACUUUGGAUGAGGAAGAAGAGAGGGAUGUUAACGAAAUAUCGAUAAAGGAAACGAAAAAGGAGAAAGGAUGAUAAUGAUAAAGAUUUGAGAAAAAAGAGAUGAUCGGUGUGUAUGUGGUUCCUCCUCCUUUAUCGUUAUUUCUUGUACUUACGUAUUUAUCAGUGUUGUGUGGAUAACGAAGCGAAAAUAUGUGAUGAAUGUAUAUAUUUAUUUUCUUUACAUAUAUGGUAUAUGUACGUGAAAAAAGUAAUGAAGAAGAAAAUGGAUUCGAGCGUCCUAACGGAUGGCUUCUUUCCCCCAUAUUAUGGAAGACGGUCGAAGAAACCAGAUUUUAACUUCGGUUCUCCUGAGAGAAAUCUUAGGUGAUUCUUUGACCUACAGAAGAAAGUGAGAAAUAGAUUGUAUUAAUCUUAAGAGAAGUGUCAUUAGAGCCUGGUUUAUGACUAUGGUCAAAAGAUGGGUAUAUUUAAAAAAAUAUUUAUAUAUCUUUGUUUUCUAUAAAUGAUGAGUUCUUUUAGAUGCAGAAUGCUAUUGUAGGCACAAGUUAUAAGUUAUUUUAUUAAGCACAAGUUAUAUGUUAUUCAGUAUAAGUUGCUCAACUCUGUUGUUUUAUAUAAUUCCAUUUGUAAAGUGAUUCUCUAGUGCAAGAUUUUAUGCCAACUUUUGUCAAAUGAAGACUUUUUGUACAAAUAUGUCUCAUAUCAAUAGAUUUAAAAGCAAAACAUUGCAUGAGCAUUUAGUUUCCAAUAAUAGAAAUGCAUUUAUUAGGCUAAAGCAGUCCAUAAACUCAAAAAUCCCCCGAAUCCUUAUUACAUAAUUCAUUUGGGAUUAUACAGUAUAGUCGUGAGAGUCUGAUCUCAGUAGGUGUAGCACUGCACUAAAUUGCGUCCAUGACAUGACGUCUGGCAGUCAUGUCUCACUGAAGAUAGUGAUAGAACAAUUUUUAUCAUGUUGAAAAAUAGAAUGUGAAUGAGUAACUAACUGCGGUUACAUUGUAAGACGUAACUAUUAAAAUAUGAAUUAUUUUCAUCUCAUUCAUGUGUUAUUUUCUUUUACAUAAUUUGUCACAAUGAAAUGUUAUUCUUUUGCUUUUACUCUUUCAUUUAAUAAAAUUUAUUCAAUUACCUAUUUACUUGGUGUUGAUGAUGAAGGAAAACGGAAAUUAUGUAAGCAAAUUAUGCUAACUAAAUCAUUAAAAGCCCAUG